Molecule: ribosomal RNA, 253 nt
Filed under: uncultured bacterium
Lineage: Bacteria
Description: partial 16S ribosomal RNA
Rfam family: Bacterial small subunit ribosomal RNA
Source: RNAcentral
UACAGAGGUGGCAAGCGUUGUUCGGAAUUACUGGGCGUAAAGGGCGCGUAGGCGGCCUUCUAAGUCAGACGUGAAAUCCCCCGGCUUAACCUGGGAACUGCGUCUGAUACUGGGAGGCUUGAGUAUGGGAGAGGGAUGUAGAAUUCCAGGUGUAGCGGUGAAAUGCGUAGAUAUCUGGAGGAAUACCGGUGGCGAAGGCGGCAUCCUGGACCAUAACUGACGCUGAUGCGCGAAAGCCAGGGGAGCAAACGGG